GACCCAGUGGAUUGGCAUGGUCGCAAGAUUGUUAAUCUGGGGGUCACGCGUUCGAAUCGCGUCGGGGUCACCA
Molecule: transfer RNA, 73 nt
Filed under: Arminella tubonensis
Lineage: Bacteria; Pseudomonadati; Pseudomonadota; Alphaproteobacteria; Hyphomicrobiales; Rhizobiaceae
Description: Rhizobium tubonense tRNA-Asn
Rfam family: tRNA
About the family: Transfer RNA (tRNA) molecules are approximately 80 nucleotides in length. Their secondary structure includes four short double-helical elements and three loops (D, anti-codon, and T loops). Further hydrogen bonds mediate the characteristic L-shaped molecular structure. tRNAs have two regions of fundamental functional importance: the anti-codon, which is responsible for specific mRNA codon recognition, and the 3' end, to which the tRNAs corresponding amino acid is attached (by aminoacyl-tRNA synthetases). tRNAs cope with the degeneracy of the genetic code in two manners: having more than one tRNA (with a specific anti-codon) for a particular amino acid; and 'wobble' base-pairing, i.e. permitting non-standard base-pairing at the 3rd anti-codon position.
Source: RNAcentral